UGUUUUUUUUUUUUUUGAACUAACACUUAUAUUAUAGCCAUGUUACAUAAGGACCAUUGUGCGGUAAAAUGUUAAGAGCUUCAGUUUUCAAUGGAAUGGUUGCAAUUCUAAGGAGUAAGGACUGAAUACUUCAUGCAAGAAAGAGUGGUGCUAUGUUGUGAAUAAGAGAAGCGAGGAAGGCUGAUAAGUAGCUUAUUCUAAGCUAAUUAUGCCUUUUUAGGCUAUUUUGCGUUCUUUAUAAUUUCUAUGAGUGUUUUUUAUGCUUUGUAGAAUCUCCAGGUCCUAGGCACAAUUAGUUGUAGUUAUGGUUUGUUGUAUAACAAACUGCAAUAUAUACAGAUACAUUUGUAAAGUGGGAAAUCGUUGAUUGAUUAAUAGAGAAUUCACUACUAUUCUCCUCAAUUCUUCUCUCUAUUCUUCUUCUUCCUUUCUCUAAUUUUUCUCCCUUUUUCCCUGAGAAUUCUUCCCUUCUUC
Molecule: unclassified non-coding RNA, 474 nt
Filed under: Hevea brasiliensis (rubber tree)
Lineage: Eukaryota; Viridiplantae; Streptophyta; Magnoliopsida; Malpighiales; Euphorbiaceae
Source: RNAcentral